CUCUCACUCGCACGGUCUCUUCCACUCGCGCUAUCUUUCUCUCUCUUGCUCUUUCUCUCUCCCUCUCUCUCUCACUUGCGCUGUCUCUCGCUUUCUCUCUCCCCCUCUCUCUCACUUGCGCUGUCUCUCGCUUUUGCUCUCUCUCUCUCUCACUUGCGCUGUCUCUCGCUCUCGCUUUCUCUCUCCCCCUCUCUCUCACUUGCGCUGUCUCUCGCUUUCGCUCUCUCUCUCUCUCACUUGCGCUGUCUCUCGCUCUCUCUCUCCCCCUCUCUCUCACUUGCGCUGUCUCUCGCUCUCCACCUCUCUCUCAAUUGCGCUGUCUCUCUCACUUGCGUUGUCUCUCGCUCUCGCUCACUUGCGCUGUCUCUCGCUCUCCCCCUCUCUCUCACUUGCGCUGUCUCUCUCUCACUCGCGCUGUCUCUCGCUUUCUCUCUCUCCCUCUCUCACUCGCGCUGUCUCUCUCUUUCUCUCUCUCCCUCUCUCUCUCACGCUUUCUCUCUCCCUCUCUCUGACUCGCGCUGUCUCUUGCUUUCUCUCACUCAGAUGCACUGUCUCUCGCUCGCUCACUCGCGCUGUCUCUCGCUUUCAAUCUCUCCCUCGCGCUGUCUCUUGCUUACUUGCGCUGUCUCUCGUGCUGUUGUGCUGUCUCUUGCUUUCUCUCUCUCUCACUCUCUCUCACUCGCGCUGUCUCUCGCUUUCUCUCUCUCUCCCUCUCUCACUCGCGCUGUCUCUCAUGCUCUGGCGCUGUCUCUUGCUUUCUCUCACUCAGAUGCACUGUCUCUUGCUCGCUCACUCGCGCUGUCUCUCGCUUUCUCUCUCUCUCCCCCUCUCUCUCACUUGCUCUGUCUCUUACUCCCUUGUGCUGUCUUUCGCUCCCUCUCUCUGUCUCUCCCUCUCUCUCACUUGCGCUGUCUUUCACUUUCUCACUCUCCCUCUCCCUCACUUGUGCUGUCUCUCACUUUCUCCCUCUCCUGUGCUGUCUCUCUUGCUCACUUGCACGGCCUUUCACUCCCUU
This 1015-nucleotide long non-coding RNA is filed under the name Astyanax mexicanus (Mexican tetra). RNAcentral's name for it is "lncRNA (ENSAMXG00005000356.1)". Lineage: Eukaryota; Metazoa; Chordata; Actinopteri; Characiformes; Acestrorhamphidae. The record is from RNAcentral.